AUUGAACGCUGGCGGCAGGCUUAACACAUGCAAGUCGAGCGAGCCGCGGACGGGUGAGUCAUGUCUGGGACACUGCUUGAUGGCUGGGGAUAACUCCUGGAACCGGUAGCUAUUACCGCAUACCAUCAGCUGUGCCCAGAUGGGAUUAGCUAGUAGGUGGGGUAAUGGCUUACCUAGGCGACGAUCCGUAGCUGGUCUGAGAGGAUGACCAGCCACACUGGAACUGAGACACGGUCCAGACUCCUACGGGAGGCAGCAGUGGGGAAUAUUGCACAAUGGGCGCAAGCCUGAUGCAGCCACGCCGCGUGUGUGAAGAAGGCCUUCGGGUUGUAAAGCACUUUCAGCGGGGAGGCGGUACUCGCAGAAGAAGCACCGGCUAACUCCGUGCCAGCCGCCGCGGUAAUUC
This 406-nucleotide ribosomal RNA is filed under the name uncultured bacterium. RNAcentral's name for it is "partial 16S ribosomal RNA". It matches the Rfam family "Bacterial small subunit ribosomal RNA", at positions 30 to 526 of the family's 1533-position model. The record is from RNAcentral.